GGGCCAGUCGCGUAACCUGGUAACGCGCACCGCUGGCCGCGGUGAGACUUCGGGUUCAAAUAGUUAGCGCUUGCGGCAACGACCGAAAAGCGCAGCUUUGACAGUCCCGACUGGUCCA
Molecule: transfer RNA, 118 nt
Filed under: Candidatus Woesearchaeota archaeon
Lineage: Archaea; Nanobdellati; Candidatus Woesearchaeota
Description: tRNA-Ala
Source: RNAcentral